UGAGGAAUAUUGGUCAAUGGGCGAGAGCCUGAACCAGCCAAGUAGCGUGCAGGAUGACGGCCCUAUGGGUUGUAAACUGCUUUUAUGUGGGGAUAAAGUGCGUGACGUGUCAUGCAUUGCAGGUACCACAUGAAUAAGGACCGGCUAAUUCCGUGCCAGCAGCCGCGGUAAUACGGAAGGUCCGGGCGUUAUCCGGAUGUAUUGGGUUUAAAGGGAGCGUAGGCUGUCUAUUAAGCGUGUUGUGAAAUUUACCGGCGCGACCGGUGGCUUACAGCGUGAACUGGUCGACUUGAGUAUGCAGGAAGUAGGCGGAAGUCAUGGUGUGGCGGUGAAAUGCUUAGAUAUCAUGACGGACUCCGAUUGCGCAGGCAGCUUACUGUAGGGUAACUGACGCUGAUUCUCGAAAGUGCGGGUAUCAAACAAG
This 424-nucleotide ribosomal RNA is filed under the name Verrucomicrobiota bacterium. Its description in RNAcentral is "Verrucomicrobia bacterium partial 16S ribosomal RNA". It matches the Rfam family "Bacterial small subunit ribosomal RNA", at positions 355 to 776 of the family's 1533-position model. Lineage: Bacteria; Pseudomonadati; Verrucomicrobiota. The record is from RNAcentral.